GACGAACGCUGGCGGCGUGCUUAACACAUGCAAGUCGAACGGAAAGGCCCUGCUUUUGUGGGGUGCUCGAGUGGCGAACGGGUGAGUAACACGUGAGUAACCUGCCCUUGACUUUGGGAUAACUUCAGGAAACUGGGGCUAAUACCGGAUAGGAGCUCCUGCUGCAUGGUGAGGGUUGGAAAGUUUCGGCGGUUGGGGAUGGACUCGCGGCUUAUCAGCUUGUUGGUGGGGGAGUGGCUUACCAAGGCUUUGACGGGUAGGCGGCCUGAGAGGGUGACCGGCCACAUUGGGACUGAGAGACGGACCAGACUCCUACGGGAGGCAGAAGUGGGGAAUAUUGCACAAUGGGCGGAAGCCUGAUGCAGCAACGCCGCGUGCGGGAUGACGGCCUUCGGGUUGUAAACCGCUUUCGCCUGUGACGAAGCGUGAGUGACGGUAAUGGGUAAAGAAGCACCGGCUAACUACGUG
This 468-nucleotide ribosomal RNA is filed under the name uncultured bacterium. RNAcentral's name for it is "partial 16S ribosomal RNA". It matches the Rfam family "Bacterial small subunit ribosomal RNA", at positions 28 to 507 of the family's 1533-position model. The record is from RNAcentral.